GACGAACGCUGGCGGCGUGCUUAACACAUGCAAGUCGAACGGAAAGGCCCUGCUUUUGUGGGGUGCUCGAGUGGCGAACGGGUGAGUAACACGUGAGUAACCUGCCCUUGACUUUGGGAUAACUUCAGGAAACUGGGGCUAAUACCGGAUAGGAGCUCCUGCUGCAUGGUGGGGGUUGGAAAGUUUCGGCGGUUGGGGCUGGACUCGCGGCUUAUCAGCUUGUUGGUGGGGUAGUGGCUUACCAAGGCUUUGACGGGUAGCCGGCCUGAGAGGGUGACCGGCCACAUUGGGACUGAGAGACGGCCCAGGCUCCUACGGGAGGCAGCAGUGGGGAAUAUUGCACAAUGGGCGGAAGCCGGAUGCAGCAACGCCGCGUGCGGGAUGACGGCCUUCGGGUUGUAAACCGCUUCCGCCUGUGACGAAGCGUGAGUGACGGUAAUGUGUAAAGAAGCACCGGCUAACUACGUG
This 468-nucleotide ribosomal RNA is filed under the name uncultured bacterium. RNAcentral's name for it is "partial 16S ribosomal RNA". It matches the Rfam family "Bacterial small subunit ribosomal RNA", at positions 28 to 507 of the family's 1533-position model. The record is from RNAcentral.